RNAcentral lists this ribosomal RNA (650 nucleotides) under Bacillus vallismortis. Its description in RNAcentral is "bacterial SSU rRNA". It matches the Rfam family "Bacterial small subunit ribosomal RNA", at positions 247 to 1533 of the family's 1533-position model. Lineage: Bacteria; Bacillati; Bacillota; Bacilli; Caryophanales; Bacillaceae. The record is from RNAcentral.
AGUUGUUUGUUAAUGGGUCGCCAAGGCAUCGACGAGUAGCCGACCUGAGAGGAUGAUCGGCCACAGUCGGACUGAGACACGGCCCAGACUCCUACUGGAGGCAGCAGUAGGGAAUCUUCCGCAAUGGACGAAAGUCUGACGGAGCAACGCCGCGUGAGUGAUGAAGGUUUUCGGAUCGUAAAGCUCUGUUGUUAGGGAAGAACAAGUGCCGUUCAAAUAGGGCGGCACCUUGACGGUACCUAACCAGAAAGCCACGGCUAACUACGUGCCAGCAGCCGCGGUAAUACGUAGGUGGCAAGCGUUGUCCGGAAUUAUUGGGCGUAAAGGGCUCGCAGGCGGUUUCUUAAGUCUGAUGUGAAAGCCCCCGGCUCAACCGGGGAGGGUCAUUGGAAACUGGGGAACUAGAGUGCAGAAGAGGAGAGUGGAAUUCCACGUGUAGCGGUGAAAUGCGUAGAGAUGUGGAGGAACACCAGUGGGGAAGGAGACUUUGUGGUCUGUAAGUGACGCUGAGGAGCGAAAGCGUGGGGAGCGAACAGGAUUAGAUACCCUGGUAGUGCGCGCCGUAAACGAAGAGUGCUAAGAGGAAGGGGGCUCCGCCCCUUAUUGAGCAGCUAACGCAGUAACAGCAGAACUUUAGAUUUUCCCCGGGC